RNAcentral lists this unclassified non-coding RNA (217 nucleotides) under Hevea brasiliensis (rubber tree). The record is from RNAcentral. Lineage: Eukaryota; Viridiplantae; Streptophyta; Magnoliopsida; Malpighiales; Euphorbiaceae.
UGAUAGCUAUGGGUCAUUUGUUGAGAGAAGUUUUGAGGACACUCUGCGGUGUCAAUCAGUGGUGCUAUGCUGUGUUCUGGAAGAUCGGCUGCCAGAAUCCUAAGUUGUUAAUUUGGGAAGAAUGUUACUAUGAAUCUAAGUCAUGUUCUGUUCUUCCAUGUACUUCUGGAAUUGGGAACCCUGAGUUGCCUUUAGGAGACUCUGAAGGAUACUGGGC